RNAcentral lists this ribosomal RNA (407 nucleotides) under uncultured bacterium. RNAcentral's name for it is "partial 16S ribosomal RNA". It matches the Rfam family "Bacterial small subunit ribosomal RNA", at positions 28 to 526 of the family's 1533-position model. The record is from RNAcentral.
GACGAACGCUGGCGGCGUGCCUACUACAUGCAAGUAGGACGCAGUUGCGAACGGGUGAGUAACGCGUAGGUACCUACCUAUUAGCGGGGGAUCACUCUUGGAAACGAUAGCUACUACCGCAUACUAGUAGAUGGACCUGCGUUGUAUUAGCUAGUAGGUAGGGUAAUGGCCUACCUAGGCAACGAUACAUAGCCGACCGGAGAGGGUGAUCGGCCAAAAUGGUACUGAGAAAAGGCCCAGACUCCUACGGGAGGCAGCAGUAGGGAAUCUGCGGCAAUGGGGGGAACACUGACCGAGAAACGCCGCGUGAGUGAAGAAGGUGUUCGGAUCGUAAAGCUCUGUUGUUAAGGAAGCGGUACUUAACCAGAAAGGGACGGCUAACUACGUGCCAGCAGCCGCGGUAAUUC